RNAcentral lists this long non-coding RNA (1291 nucleotides) under Citrus x clementina. RNAcentral describes it as "Citrus clementina (C. clementina) long non-coding RNA (CCLE_LNC004248)". Lineage: Eukaryota; Viridiplantae; Streptophyta; Magnoliopsida; Sapindales; Rutaceae. The record is from RNAcentral.
GGCAUCAUGGUCAUUUCACAAUGAACGAGAGAUCAAAAGGCAAAACAGACAUCACUUUUGAACUCAGGACGGUCGAAAACCUUAAGAGGAGCAUAAAAGGAAAAAUGACAUUGUUCACAUGUACGUUACUGUUUACGACACUGUUCACAUAGACGGAUCGAUGACGUGGCAUUGACCGAUGAUGUGGCAUUGACUGAUGAGGUGUCACGAUCCUAUUGGACUAAAAUUCUUAUCUACUGUUUAUCAGUGACGUGGCAGCAUGUUAGUGGACCAAAAAUCGCGUGUACGGUAUAUGCAUAUACACAUGAUUAUUUUCAAUCAAACCGCGUCACUGUUCAAACCACGUCACUAUUCAAACCGCGUGGCCAAACCGUGUCACUGUUCAAACUGUGUGGUCAAACCGCGUACUGUUGACUAAUGACGUGGCGCAAUCCUGAGCGUCCAAACUGUUUUUAAUCCGAUGGCCAUGAUUUACUCAAUUUAUCUAUAAAAAUGGGUCUCUCCCCCCCUAAUUUGGCAUCUCUAAAUCCAUUUUUGGGUCCCAUUUUCUGUAAUUCCUUCUCCAUCUUGUAUUUUCUACGUAUUUUAAUAAAUUCCCAUUUUACCCUUAGUUCAAUUAUGAGUAGCUAAUUUUCUUUCAAGCUUGGGUUGAAGGUGAAGUCUCAACAUGUGUCAUGGGCUUUAUUUGGUAAAUUUAUUUUCUCUUCCCCUCUAAUUUUUGUGGAUGUUUUGACUUUUCGUCGACAAAUAAUAAUAAUCUUGUCUAGAUACCGCUCUGGUUUCACCGGCUCCCUAGUACAAGGUUAUUAUCAUUUGGCACGAUAAGCCCUUAGCACUAUAUUGAUUAGAGUGUGGUUCAUGAGUUAUGGAUUCCCCCCUUAUGAUUUAAUUGGCACUGAUAAUGAAUAUUUAGCUCAUGAUGCAUGUUGAUGUGGAUCCAAAUACCCAAGCGCUUCAAUUAUUAUAGUUUCCACUUUAAUUUAAUUCUGCCAUUUCAAUUUAAAUUUUAGGAUAUUCCAAAUCAUCUUUACCAUAAUUCCAACCAUCCAUUUAGAAAAAUUAAUUCUACACACAAUUAAAAUCCACCUCCUCGUGGGAUCGACACUCGUCACCAUUGAUCUAUUUUACAAUAGAUUCGCACACUUGCGAGUUCAAUAAAAUUUGCACAACAAGUUUUUGGCGCCGUUGCUGGGGAGGUAAGUUAUUUUAAUUUGUGGAAUUAAUUUUUGUAAAUAAUUGCUUUUAGUUAUUUUCUUGUAAUUUUUUUCUUAUUUUAAAAAAAAGUGAAUCU